CGUUACACGACAACGAGCAAAGAGGGGCAACUGUAAUAGCCCAAUUUGCCCAGUCCUGUGUAACUAAAUAAAACCAAUAUAAAAACAAAAAUUAAAAGUCCAUUAAACUGUUAACAGAAACCCAAAAUUAUAUCCAAACCCAAUUAACCCCAAGCCCAAAACCUAAAUUUAACCUAGCCCACUAGCCUAAAAAAAACCUCUAGCCCAAUGAGCCCAAAAUGCAAAACAGAAGAAAGAAACCCUAGCAACAUUCGGCUCCCAGCGUCGCAACAGCCAAACCCUCCUCCGCGCGUGCCAAGCCUCCGCCCUCACGUGCGCCUCCGUACUCGCC
Molecule: long non-coding RNA, 331 nt
Filed under: Gossypium raimondii (Peruvian cotton)
Lineage: Eukaryota; Viridiplantae; Streptophyta; Magnoliopsida; Malvales; Malvaceae
Description: long non-coding RNA (GRAI_LNC010421)
Source: RNAcentral